Molecule: long non-coding RNA, 622 nt
Filed under: Cyanistes caeruleus (blue tit)
Lineage: Eukaryota; Metazoa; Chordata; Aves; Passeriformes; Paridae
Description: lncRNA (ENSCCEG00000009828.1)
Source: RNAcentral
GACCGCCAGGCAAUGAGUAUUUAGUGGUGCUUCUACUUCAAUUAGAAGUGCUGGUCUCAGAACUUAACAAAGCUGUUCCUAACAUCCUUGCUGAAUCAAACCUUUUCUCUUGCAACUCCCAUCCACUGUCAGGCCCUCCUGUUUGAAAACCUAUAUGAAAUCAAAUGGAUGCCAGCUAAAUAGCACCCUCUCCAUCCCAAAUCUAGGGUGCAGCAAUUCCACAACAGAGGCAUUAACGGGUGGUGCAAGAUGAGAAACAACAAAACCCAGCAACAGAGGGAGGGGCUGAGCGCGGUAACCAUCUUUCAAGACACUGCUAGGAGGUGACACUCAGACAUCAUCAUCGACUGGGAUCAAGUGCAAGGUUCAAAGCAAGUUCUUUUACUUCAGCAAACAAAAUGAUGCUCCCAGUGGGUGGAUGCCAUGGAGGAAGGCCAGGAGACAGCAUGCUGGAGACAAGAUGACACAUAAGAGCUGAAAUGAGGGACUGAGAUGUGGAAAGAGACCAGUCAGGGCAGUGCUGGGGGCAGGAAAGAAAGGGGAGAACCGGGAUCAGAAGACGCAUGAUCCAGAAAAGACCUUGAAGUGUAGGGAUUAAUUUGAACCUGUGAACUUGAUCAGA